CUUUUCUUUUUUUUUUUUUUUUUUUUUGAGACGGAGUCUUACUCUGUCGCCAGGCUGGAGUGCAGUGGUGCAAUCUCAGCUCACUGCAACCUCCACCUCCAGGGUUCAAGCGAUUCUCCUGCCUCAGCCUCCCAAGUAGUUGGGGCUACAGGCACUUGCCACCAUACCCGGCUAAUUUUUGUAUUUUCAGUAGAGACGUAGUUUUACCAUGUUGUUCAGGAUGGUCUCCAUCUCUUGACCUCGUGAUCUGCCCGCCUCGGCUUCCCAGAGUGCUGGGAUUACAGGUGUGAGCCACCGCGCCCGGCCAUGUUGUUAUGUUUCAUACACAUGUGUGUGUAUGCGUAAGUACACAUAUAGACACACUUAACAUUACACGAUGUACAUGCUAGUGUUGGAGAUACAAAAAUGACUUUAUGCUUACCCUAAAGGCUUCCCUAAAAGACAAAGAAUUGUGGGACAGUUUGAUAAAUGUCAUAAGAGAUAUCAGUAAGUGCUAAAAAUAGCACAGAGAGGCAUGAUUUCCUCUGCUUGGGUGUGUCCAGGAAACCUUUACUGAGAAGGGAACAUUUGCAUGGAUCUUAAUAGGAAUUCAAAGAUCACUGGAAGAAGUGUGUGUGUGAGUGAGUGAAGGUGUGGCAGGAAGGGGUGAUGGGAAUGGAGAAAGAUGUUCCAAAAAGGAGAAGUCAUAUGGCCACAGGCCUUGAUGUGAAGCGGCACUGACAUUUAGAAGAGUGUAGAUAGUUCCAUGUGGCUGUCAAGACGGGGCCUUGGGUAGGGAAUAAGAGAGUGAACAGUUGAGCACAGGCUGAGUCUGGAGAGACAUAAGCUUCUAAUUUAUCUUGUAAGUAAAUAGACAUCUUGGAAAGAAUGGAAGCAGAGUGUGACAAGAUCAGAUCUGGACUUUGGAAGGAGGAGGACUCUAACAGUGUGGAGGAUGAAUUGAAGGAAGGACAACUAGGGGCAGCCAGAUCUGUUAAGAGAAGGAGAGGCCAAGACAAGAACCUGCAGAGGUGUCAUGGGAAACACCGCACCUGUGAAGGAUGACGAGCUGGCAGCAGGAGUGGUCAGGAGAGACUUCAAACUGCAGUGCAGGUCAGACACCUGGGAAAGGAGAGCAGACUGGGAAGAGGAUGAUCCUCAAACUGCGGUGCAGCUCCAGGAUGUUCCUGCCAGGCUUAGUGUCCCAGAAUACAGCUCACUUCUUAGCAAGGCCUCACAUCAGGCACAGUGGCCUGUUUCUAGCCCUGUUUCUGGCACUCUCUGUGCUCAGUCAUUGGCCGGGAGCAGCCUGGGGCGGUGUGAACACCCAGCAUAUCCAAAAUACAGCGGCAGGAGGCUGGAGGCUUCUUGCACCAGGUUCUCUUUAAGGGAGACCUGAGCACACUCCCUGCCAGCACAGAGAUGCCUGCAGCAGCACAGUCUGCCCUAAGGCAGUCACGGAAGAAUGGAAAGCAGAUGGGAAAGAGGACCUAGCCUUGUUUGCCAGCACCCCCCUGGUCUGGGAAGGCUGUUUCCCUUCUGGCUUGUGAGGUUGCUGCCCUUGCUCCUUUCUUGGUUGGGGCCAGAAGUUGUCCUCCGCUCUUUUUGAGGACAUCACAGGCUUGGCAGAUGCAGGAGUCAGCUCAGGCUACUGUAACACAUGGCACAGACCAGGUGGCUUAAACAACAGAAAUUAAUUUCCUCAUAUAUCUGGAGGCUGGAAGUCUAAACUCAAAGGUCAGCAGGAUUGGUUUCUUCUGAGGCCUCCCUCCUUGGCUUGUGGACGGCUGUCUUCUCUUUGUGUCUCCACACAGUCUUCCCUCUAUGUGCAUCUGUGUCCUGGUUUCCUUUUCUUAAAAGAACACCAAUCAGAAUGGAUUCGGGCCCACCCUAAUGGCCUUAUUUUAAAUUGAUUACCCCUUAAAAUACCCUGUCUCCAAAUAUUCCGAGAUAUGGGGGUCAGGGCUGCAACAUAGGAAUUUUGGGGGCCACGAUUCAGCCCAUCACAGAAGGUAAGAGAUGUGCUGCCUCCACUGCUCUCUCACACAUCGAGAGCACUGGUCCCUUAGUGUAGGCAGGCUUCUCCUUCCUGUGAGUUCUGCUUCCACUGUGUGACACAAAGAAAGUCAGGUGGGUCCAAGAGACGCCAACAUGCAGAGU
This is a long non-coding RNA of Macaca fascicularis (crab-eating macaque), 2139 nucleotides long. NCBI's taxonomy places the organism in Eukaryota, Metazoa, Chordata, Mammalia, Primates, Cercopithecidae. The record is from Ensembl.